AGUGAACGCUGGCGGUAGGCCUAACACAUGCAAGUCGAACGGCAGCACCGUAAGAGCUUGCUCUUACGGGUGGCGAGUGGCGGACGGGUGAGGUAUACAUCGGAAUCUACUUUUUCGUGGGGGCUAACGUAGGGAAACUUACGCUAAUACCGCAUACGACCUACGGGUGAAAGCCGGCGAUCUUCGGACCUUUUGCGAUUGAAUGAGCCGAUGUUGGAUUCGCUAGUUGGCGGGGUAAAGGCCCACCAAGGCGACGAUCGGUAGCUGGUCUGAGAGGAUGAGCAGCCACACUGGAACGGAGACACGGUCCAGACUCCUACGAGAGGCAGCAGUGGGGAAUAUUGGACAAUGGGCGCAAGCCUGAUCCAUCCAUACCGCGUGGGUGAAGAAGGCCUUCGGGUUGUAAGGCCCUUUUGUUGGGAAAGAAAAGCAGCAGGUUAAUACCCCGCUGUUCUGACGGUACCCAAAGAAUAAGCACCGGCUAACUUCGUG
Molecule: ribosomal RNA, 492 nt
Filed under: uncultured bacterium
Lineage: Bacteria
Description: partial 16S ribosomal RNA
Rfam family: Bacterial small subunit ribosomal RNA
Source: RNAcentral